Molecule: ribosomal RNA, 497 nt
Filed under: uncultured bacterium
Lineage: Bacteria
Description: partial 16S ribosomal RNA
Rfam family: Bacterial small subunit ribosomal RNA
Source: RNAcentral
GAUGAACGCUGGCGGCGUGCCUAAUACAUGCAAGUCGAGCGAACAGACGAGGAGCUUGCUCCUCUGACGUUAGCGGCGGACGGGUGAGUAACACGUGGAUAACCUACCUAUAAGACUGGGAUAACUUCGGGAAACCGGAGCUAAUACCGGAUAAUAUAUUGAACCGCAUGGUUCAAUAGUGAAAGACGGUUUUGCUGUCCCUUAUAGAUGGAUCCGCGCCGCAUUAGCUAGUUGGUAAGGUAACGGCUUACCAAGGCAACGAUGCGUAGCCGAUCUGAGAGGGUGAUCAGCCACACUGGAACUGAGACACGGUCCAGACUCCUACGGGAGGCAGCAGUAGGGAAUCUUCCGCAAUGGGCGAAAGCCUGACGGAGCAACGCCGCGUGAGUGAUGAAGGUCUUCGGAUCGUAAAACUCUGUUAUUAGGGAAGAACAAAUGUGUAAGUAACUAUGCACGUCUUGACGGUACCUAAUCAGAAAGCCACGGCUAACUACGUG